CCUACGGGAGGCAGCAGUGAGGAAUAUUGGUCAAUGGGCGCGAGCCUGAACCAGCCACGUAGCGUGAAGGCUGACUGCCCUACGGGUUGUAAACUUCUUUUAUAUAGGAAUCAAUUGUUGCACGUGUGCCUUUUUGUAUGUACUUUAUGAAUAAGGAUCGGCUAACUCCGUGCCAGCAGCCGCGGUAAUACGGAGAAUCCGAGCGUUAUCCGGAUUUAUUGGGUUUAAAGGGAGCGUAGAUGGGUUGUUAAGUCAGUUGUGAAAGUUUGCGGCUCAACCGUAAAAUUGCAAUUGAUACUGGCAGCCUUGAGUACAGUAGAGGUAGGCGGAAUUCGUGGUGUAGCGGUGAAAUGCUUAGAUAUCACGAAGAACUCCGAUUGCGAAGGCAGCUUACUAAACUGCCACUGACAUUGAUGCUCGAAAGUGUGGGUAUCAAACAGGAUUAGAGACCCGUGUAGUC
Molecule: ribosomal RNA, 460 nt
Filed under: uncultured bacterium
Lineage: Bacteria
Description: partial 16S ribosomal RNA
Rfam family: Bacterial small subunit ribosomal RNA
Source: RNAcentral